Molecule: long non-coding RNA, 5321 nt
Organism: Oncorhynchus keta (chum salmon)
Lineage: Eukaryota; Metazoa; Chordata; Actinopteri; Salmoniformes; Salmonidae
Exons: 4
Source: RefSeq, a predicted model, not a curated record
UAUGCGGCAGUGGGUGCUGCGGAGUUCGCCCGUUUCCUCCCCGACACAAUGCCCCAGCUGCGCAUCCAGGCUGCUCAAACGUUGUCUAUGUUUGGCAGCACAUACCUGUGUGAACAACUGUUUUCUUUGAUGAACUUGAACAAAACAUCACACAGAAGUCGACUUACUGCUGAACACCUCCACUCAAUUCUGAGGAUUUCCUCAGCUCAGAGCCUUACCCCGAACAUUGAUGAACUUGUGGAAAAGAUGGGACACCACCAAGUAUCACCCUCAACCUCAAACAAGUGAACAUUACUGUGCAAUCACAUAUUUAGAGUUUUUACUCAGUUCAAGUUUAAAAGUUAAAGUUUAAUAUUUGUUUUCACUGCAUGUUACUUCUCCUUAAACAAAGUGUUGUUUUUGAUUAAUAGAUUUUUGCACUUUAUUUUAUUGUAUUUCAAUCCAAUUAUAUUUUAAAAAUAUUUCAGUUGAGUGGAUGAUAGAAAAUUGCUAUUAUUGUUUUUUUCUUUGAAGUAAAUUUAGCCCACUUUUGCUAAAAUAGAAAAUAUAGGCUACUGAUGGUGCCUUGAAUACCGGUUUCUUUCAUUUAAUGUUCAUGUUAUGGGGAUUUUUAUAUAAAGGAAAUUUGUCUUUUGUGUCUGUUGAAAAUUAAAGAUUACUGACAGAGCCAUAAGAAAAUAUUGCUUUAUUUAUCUGAUCAUAUUGGAAUAUAUUUGUUAGGUUUUCAGUAGGUUCAAUUAGGUUCACUAGACUAUAUGCGUCAUUUAAAAAAAUUUCAAUGAACAUUCGAACAGUCCGGCCCUCGGCUUGUAGCUAAAUUUUUUAUUUGGCCCUCCGUCCAUUUGACUUUGACACCCCUGCUCUAGAGUGUGUUGACCAGGUGAAAGAGAUGCGAGGGUUCAGUGACUCACGGAAGGAUGAGUACUUCAUCAAGAGAAUGACUGAUCCAAACCAGGCCAGAAGAAUCCUCACACACAUGAAGUCAUCAAGAAUAUUUGAAGAAUAUCAUCAAGAACAUCAUGUGCCAUAUUCCAGUAUGCUGUUGGAUUUCAUCCUCUGUUCUGAAGAAUCUGGUAGUUGAAGCAGAGAGUGGAAAGAUGCCCAAAACGCUGACUCAAAUGUGUACACAUUUCCUUAUGUUUCAGACCACACGGAUGAAUCUGAAGUAUGCUAUAGAACAAGAGAUGGAACCCCCAUUAAAUCAGAUAAUUCUGGGAUUGGGGAAGGUAGCCUUUCAACAGCUGCAAAAGGGCAACCUGAUCUUCUAAGAGGAAGACCUGAGAGAGUAGGGCAUCGAUGUUGAAGUGUCAGUGUACUUCAGAAUGUGUGCACAGGUCUUCAGAGAGGAGUGUGGGCUGUACCAGAGAAAGGUGUACUGCUUUGUGCCUCUGAGCAUCCAGGAGUGUCUGACUGCUCUGUAUGUCUUUCUCAUGUUCAACAAUGUAAAUCUGAUGGCAGAACAGGAAACCACACCCAAUGACCCUCUGACGUCUAAUGAAUUCUCUACAACCUCCAUAAGAGUGCAGUAGAUAAGGCUCUGAAGAGUGAGAAUUGACACCUGGACCUCCAUAAGAGUGCAGUAGAUAAGGCUCUGAAGAGUGAGAAUUGACACCUGGACCUCCAUAAGAGUGCAGUAGAUAAGGCUCUGAAGAGUGAGAAUUGACACCUGGACCUCUUCCUCAGCUUCCUUCUCAGCCUCUCUCUGGAGUCCAAUCAGACUCUGUUAAGAGGUCUACCAACACAGACAAGAAGCAGCUCACAGAGCCAUAAGGAAACAGUAGAAUACAUCAAGGAGAACCCCUCUCCAGAGAAGUGCAUCAGCCUGUACCACUGUCGGAAUGAGCUGAAUGAGGAGAUCCAAAGGCACCUGGGAUCGGGAAUUCUCUCUAAGGCCAAACAUUCACCUGCAGAGUGUUCAGCUCUGGUCUUUGUGUUGCUGACCUCAGAGAUGCUGGAUAUUUUCGACCUGAGAAAAUACUCUGGUUCAGAGGGUCUGCUGAGGAUGCUGCCAGUGGUCAAAGCCUCCAGAGUAGUGCUCCUAUCCCAGCAAACCCGGACCAAUUGUGCACCACCCUAUGGGACUCCCAAUCACAGCCGGAUGUGAUUCAGUCUGGAUUUGAAUCUGGGACUGUAGUGACGCCUCUUGCACUGAGAGAGCUAAAUCUGGACUACAGUCACAUAGGAGACUCAGGAGUGAAGAUUCUCUCUGCUGCACUGGAGCAUCCAGACUGUAAUGUAAAACUCAGUCUGAACAAUAAUGCAGAGUACUGGUUAAAGUCUGGCCUGAAGAAAUGUAGAUGCCUAUGAGCUGACACUGGACCCAAACACAGCCCACAGACGCCUCUCCAUCUGAGGGGAACAUAACAGAGCCGGGAGACAGAGGAGAAACCGUAUCCUGAUCACCCAGACAGAUUUCAAUGCUGGUCACAGGUUUUGUCUAGACAGAGGAGCAACCAUAUCCAGAUUAGAGUUGCUGUUAUCCAAUACAUGUAUGAUAUAGGCUACUGCACAGUACGCACGACAGACAAACAUAAAAGCCCAUAGAUGUAGCUAGCUAUAUGCUCUCUUAGGUAAAUAAAUGAAACUAGUGUGAACUGUAUUACUGUACUGCAUUAUACUGUAUUAUAUGGGCUGGAAUUACGCACAUUGUUCAAACCACGAUAAAGCAGAAGAGAACAUGCGAUUCGUGUGCAGCACAUGCGGCCUACAAAGUUACAAGUAUAGGCUAAAGAAUUUGAUUUAAAGUUUGAAAUAUAGUAUGGCUUAUUUGUAUACUUAGUAUGCUGUCGCAUAUAUACCUUUCAUAAUAUUCCCCUAAUGUUAUUAGCCUACUUCCUCUUUCUCUAUUGUUGCUUCAUUCCUUCCUCGCUUUCAACAGUUCAAUUAAAUACUUUUCGUUGUCCUUAUCUUCAUCAUUCUAAUGACAUCCAUUAAUAAUAUUGGACUAGAAUUAGAAACGGAAUGCUUUCACUUCUCUUCACGAAGAUUGAAUGGUAAUGAGUCCGAAUAAAUAACUGAUAUAGCCUACCGCUAUCGCGCCCAUUUGCUCUUCUUUCAAACGACCCGUGAGUUCUAUUGGCUGCUGUAUUUAGCAAUCAUAAACAUAUAAUGCCCAGCAAUGUAUUUUAGUCUAGUUUUUCCUGCAUGGGAUUGGAAGGGCUAAAGAGCGUUUUUUAAGGAGAGGUCAGCGGAGCACAGGUGUGUGCGUACUGUAAAUAACACUCUUACUAUGCAUAACCCAUUAUUAAUUAGCUAAAUAUAAGGCUAUUACGGCAUUGAAUGUAUUACCUGAAAGAGGUAGGCUAGGACAUCUCUGUAUAGGGCUAUAUAUUAAUCUAGAACAAGGUGAUCUAUUUUGGAUGCAAUUUGAAUGGAGUUGAUAGAGAGAACAAGACUGCGAGAGAGUGUUCGCGCGUGCACUGAUACAAUGCAAUGAUGUUUGAGUGAUAGGAUGUUUUAAAACUGCAGCUGCAAUUGAAAAAAAGUAUAAUCUUUCAAAAUAAAAAAACAAGGUGACGCCCGAAAGCCAUAUGGAGAUGGGUAAAUUAGACGGGCAUUCGCUCUAGACGGGCAUUCGCUCUUUAUAUUACUAUAUUACUUGCUAUGCUGCAACAACUGUACCUGUCACAAGAAAACACGUUGCCAUGAUGAAAUGACAGUUCGACAUGCAUUGUGAACAGCGCUCCAUACUGAGAUAGGAUGUCUGUCCCCACCUUCAGUGUUGAUUCAUCAUACAGACGCCGUAGAGAAGACCGAUUUAGACAUUGCACAUCAUUUAACAGUUCCAUUUCACGCGAUGCUGUUCAUAUAAAUGAUUUAUUAUAAUUUACUGGUUUCUCACAGUUAUUUAUCCUUGGAAAGGGGAGUGGUUUUGGGGCAGUAAAUCUCGGUAACCGGGCUCCAGCCAUUCAACCCUAAUCCUGUUCACCUAGACAGAUUUCAACGCAGGCUAAAGAUUUAGUGUAGUCCACAGGUUUUUCAUAUUGGGUUUUGUUAUUGGGAGGUAGAGUGGCAUGGGACAGAAAUCCUAGGAAUCACCAGGGGCCAACUGUCACUGGGGAGGGGGGGACUGGAACGUGAUAAAAACAACCGAGGCAAUGGUGUGGUUUAGGAGUGUCCUCUGGUAUAUUUACCCACCUGUGGACUUUAAAAACAGAUCCACUGAGUCCCUCUACCCAGGGGUGUGGGUUUCUGUGGACUCCAUACUAGUGUCCUGUAACCUGGCAAAACACCAUAGUCCUCAAGGGAUCUGUGAACAUUUGAAAUGUUUUAAACGUUGCAACAUCAAUUCAUGUCAUCUCCUCAAUUCAUCUGAUUAUAUUCCAAAAUCAUGUGAUACUAGUGAUGCACCAUAUGGCAGGUAUAAGAAAGGUGGCUUUUCUCACAGCUCCAAAAUAGGUUAUCCAACAUUGUUAUCCAAUAUAUCACAGUUCAGUUUCCUCUCUUAACUCUCAACUCAAAAGUGUGCAUGUGUAACGGAUGUGAAACGGCUAGCUUAGUUAGCAGUGCGCGCUAAAUAGCGUUUCAAUCGGUUACGUCACUUGCUCUGAGACCUUGAAGUAGUAGUUCCCCUUGCUCUGCAAGGGCCGCGGCUUUUGUGGAGCGAUGGGUAAUGAUGCUUCGAGGGUGACUGUUGUCGAUGUGUGCAGAGUUCGCGCCCGGGUAUGGGUGAGGGGACGGACGUAAAGUUAUUCUGUUACACAUGCAGUAUCUAACAACUAUAUAAUCACUCUGUCCAGCCUUAUCUUCUCUCCACUGCCACAGAGAAGAGCUCCCUCUGUCCUCAAUCUGCUGAUACCCCCUCCAGUUUGUCAGAGAUCCCCUGCUUACAGCCCAGGAGAGCAACCUCAGGCUGGGAAACGUACCAGGCCUGUCAGAGCCUGAACAGAAUGCUAUAGAACAGGUUUACAUUCUUCAUUAUUGUAUUCAUGACGUUACUCUGAGGACUAUGUCCCGUGAAUCUGUGGGGAAGUGUUGUAAUCCAUACAUUUGUAACAGUGUAAAUAAUCUAUAAAAGUAUUAGAUUUGAUUGUAGUACGCCUUGAUCUUAUAGCCAUUAAUUCUUGAGUGAUUUACACAGAUGUACACAAUAGACAAGUACAGGUUUUAUGGUGUUGGUAGCAUGCUGUACUACAGUACUUAUCUUACGAAAGACAUUCAUAAAGCUAACACUAAAUAUAUUUAUGAAGAUUUGUACCAUAUUUCUAAAGUGUGUUGUCUCUUCCUCUCUAUCACUAAAAGGAGGUGUAGCGUGGCGUAAUGCAGUACCAGUGAUGUUCUGUACACUGUAUCUGGUUCUAUCUUACUAAAUCACUUCCUGA